AGGACGAACGCUGGCGGCGUGCUUAACACAUGCAAGUCGAACGAUGAAGCCUAGCUUGCUAGGUGGAUUAGUGGCGAACGGGUGAGUAAUACGUGAGUGACCUACCUUUGACUCUGGGAUAAGCCUGGGAAACUGGGUCUAAUACCGGAUACGACCAAUCUCCGCAUGGGGUGUUGGUGGAAAGCGUUAUGGAGUGGUUUUAGAUGGGCUCACGGCCUAUCAGCUUGUUGGUGAGGUAAUGGCUUACCAAGGCGACGACGGGUAGCCGGCCUGAGAGGGUGACCGGCCACACUGGGACUGAGACACGGCCCAGACUCCUACGGGAGGCAGCAGUGGGGAAUAUUGCACAAUGGGCGCAAGCCUGAUGCAGCGACGCGCGUGAGGGAUGACGGCCUUCGGUUGUAAACCUCUGUUAGCAGUCGAAGAAGACGAAAAGUGACGGGUAGGUAGACGAAGAAGAAAGCCGGACCCGGACUAACGUACGU
This 485-nucleotide ribosomal RNA is filed under the name uncultured soil bacterium. RNAcentral describes it as "bacterial SSU rRNA". It matches the Rfam family "Bacterial small subunit ribosomal RNA", at positions 26 to 518 of the family's 1533-position model. The record is from RNAcentral.